GAAGAACGCUAGCUACAGGCUUAACACAUGCAAGUCGAGGGGCAGCAUUUCAGUUUGCUUUGCAACUGGAGAAGGCGACCGGCGCACGGGUGAGUAACACGUAUCCAACCUGCCGAUAACUCGGGGAUAGCCUUUCGAAAGAAAGAUUAAUACCCGAUGGUAUAAUCAGACCGCAUGGUCUUGUUAUUAAAGAAUUUCGGUUAUCGAUGGGGAUGCGUUCCAUUAGGCAGUUGGUGAGGUAACGGCUCACCAAACCUUCGAUGGAUAGGGGUUCUGAGAGGAAGGUCCCCCACAUUGGAACUGAGACACGGUCCAAACUCCUACGGGAGGCAGCAGUGAGGAAUAUUGGUCAAUGGGCGCAGGCCUGAACCAGCCAAGUAGCGUGAAGGAUGACUGCCCUAUGGGUUGUAAACUUCUUUUAUAUGGGAAUAAAGUUUUCCACGUGUGGAAUUUUGUAUGUACCAUAUGAAUAAGGAUCGGCUAACUCCGUGCCAGCAGCCGCGGUAAUACGGAGGAUCCGAGCGUUAUCCGGAUUUAUUGGGUUUAAAGGGAGCGUAGGUGGACAGUUAAGUCAGUUGUGAAAGUUUGCGGCUCAACCGUAAAAUUGCAGUUGAUACUGGCUGUCUUGAGUACAGUAGAGGUGGGCGGAAUUCGUGGUGUAGCGGUGAAAUGCUUAGAUAUCACGAAGAACUCCGAUUGCGAAGGCAGCUCACUGGACUGCAACUGACACUGAUGCUCGAAAGUGUGGGUAUCAAACAGGAUUAGAUACCCUGGUAGUCCACACAGUAAACGAUGAAUACUCGCUGUUUGCGAUAUACAGUAAGCGGCCAAGCGAAAGCAUUAAGUAUUCCACCUGGGGAGUACGCCGGCAACGGUGAAACUCAAAGGAAUUGACGGGGGCCCGCACAAGCGGAGGAACAUGUGGUUUAAUUCGAUGAUACGCGAGGAACCUUACCCGGGCUUAAAUUGCAUUUGAAUAUAUUGGAAACAGUAUAGCCGUAAGGCAAAUGUGAAGGUGCUGCAUGGUUGUCGUCAGCUCGUGCCGUGAGGUGUCGGCUUAAGUGCCAUAACGAGCGCAACCCUUAUCUUUAGUUACUAACAGGUUAUGCUGAGGACUCUAGAGAGACUGCCGUCGUAAGAUGUGAGGAAGGUGGGGAUGACGUCAAAUCAGCACGGCCCUUACGUCCGGGGCUACACACGUGUUACAAUGGGGGGUACAGAAGGCCGCUACCUGGUGACAGGAUGCUAAUCCCAAAAACCUCUCUCAGUUCGGAUCGAAGUCUGCAACCCGACUUCGUGAAGCUGGAUUCGCUAGUAAUCGCGCAUCAGCCAUGGCGCGGUGAAUACGUUCCCGGGCCU
RNAcentral lists this ribosomal RNA (1359 nucleotides) under uncultured bacterium. Its description in RNAcentral is "bacterial SSU rRNA". It matches the Rfam family "Bacterial small subunit ribosomal RNA", at positions 28 to 1381 of the family's 1533-position model. The record is from RNAcentral.